This 69-nucleotide transfer RNA is filed under the name Capra hircus (goat). It matches the Rfam family "tRNA". Rfam says of the family: Transfer RNA (tRNA) molecules are approximately 80 nucleotides in length. Their secondary structure includes four short double-helical elements and three loops (D, anti-codon, and T loops). The record is from Rfam by way of RNAcentral. Lineage: Eukaryota; Metazoa; Chordata; Mammalia; Artiodactyla; Bovidae. RNAcentral also lists the same sequence under 1 other name.
CCUGGUGUUUCAGAUGGUAAAGAAUCUGUCUGCAAUGCAGGAGACCCAGGUUCGAUCCCUGGGUCAGGA